This 267-nucleotide long non-coding RNA is filed under the name Elaeis guineensis (African oil palm). RNAcentral describes it as "long non-coding RNA (EGUI_LNC035859)". Lineage: Eukaryota; Viridiplantae; Streptophyta; Magnoliopsida; Arecales; Arecaceae. The record is from RNAcentral.
GGUUUAACUGUCAAUCCUAAUUUAGUCGACCACAUUGUAUUUCAACCUUACAAAUCUAUCUUAUAGAUUAUCCUGGCUAAGGUUUUACUAAAUUGAAAUACGCUGAUGCAUAUCUCCUACUAAUUUAGAGGGAUCAAUUCCAUCUUGACUCACACACUGACUUGACAAAUACUUGACUGCACCUAGUAGCCUUUCGAUGUUGAGUUGGAAACUCAGAUAGUCUGAUACUAAAAUACAGUGAGUUACUUACAAGUCACCAUGAUGGUC